RNAcentral lists this ribosomal RNA (381 nucleotides) under uncultured archaeon. RNAcentral's name for it is "bacterial SSU rRNA". It matches the Rfam family "Archaeal small subunit ribosomal RNA", at positions 473 to 853 of the family's 1478-position model. The record is from RNAcentral.
ACACCGGCGGCCCGAGUGGUAACCGCUUUUAUUGGGUCUAAAGGGUCCGUAGCCGGUUUGGUCAGUCCUCCGGGAAAUCUGAUAGCUCAACUAUUAGGCUUUCGGGGGAUACUGCCAGACUUGGAACCGGGAGAGGUAAGAGGUACUACAGGGGUAGGAGUGAAAUCUUGUAAUCCCUGUGGGACCACCUGUGGCGAAGGCGUCUUACCAGAACGGGUUCGACGGUGAGGGACGAAAGCUGGGGGCACGAACCGGAUUAGAUACCCGGGUAGUCCCAGCCGUAAACGAUGCUCGCUAGGUGUCAGGCAUGGCGCGACCGUGUCUGGUGCCGCAGGGAAGCCGUGAAGCGAGCCACCUGGGAAGUACGGCCGCAAGGCUGAA